Molecule: ribosomal RNA, 446 nt
Filed under: uncultured bacterium
Lineage: Bacteria
Description: partial 16S ribosomal RNA
Rfam family: Bacterial small subunit ribosomal RNA
Source: RNAcentral
CCUACGGGAGGCUGCAGUCGAGAAUCAUUCACAAUGGGGGAAACCCUGAUGGUGCGACGCCGCGUGGGGGAAUGAAGGUCUUCGGAUUGUAAACCCCUGUCAUGUGGGAGCAAAUUAAAAAGAUAGUACCACAUGAGGAAGAGACGGCUAACUCUGUGCCAGCAGCUGCGGUAAUACAGAGGUCUCAAGCGUUGUUCGGAAUCACUGGGCGUAAAGCGUGCGUAGGCGGUUUCGUAAGUCGUGUGUGAAAGGCGCGGGCUCAACCCGCGGACGGCACAUGAUACUGCGAGACUAGAGUAAUGGAGGGGGAACCGGAAUUCUCGGUGUAGCAGUGAAAUGCGUAGAUAUCGAGAAGAACACUCGUGGCGAAGGCGGGUUCCUGGACAUUAACUGACGCUGAGGCACGAAGGCCAGGGGAGCGAAAGGGAUUAGAUACCCUUGUAGUC